UAGGGAAUAUUGGACAAUGGGCGAAAGCCUGAUCCAGCCAUGCCGCGUGAGUGAAGAAGGCCUUAGGGUUGUAAAGCUCUUUUAGUGGGGAAGGUAAUGACUGUACCCACAGAAAAAGCCCCGGCUAACUUCGUGCCAGCAGCCGCGGUAAUACGAAGGGGGCUAGCGUUGUUCGGAAUCACUGGGCGCAAAGCGGGUGUAGGUGGAUGUUUAAGUGAGGGGUGAAAGCCCAAGGCUCAACCUUGGAACGGCCUCUCAUACUGAGCAUCUAGAGUCUGGAAGGGGGAAAUGGAAUUCCGAGUGUAGAGGUGAAAUUCGUAGAUAUUCGGAGGAACACCAGUGGCGAAGGCGAUUUCCUGGUACAUGACUGUCACUCAGACCCGAAAGUGUGGGGAUCAAACA
This 402-nucleotide ribosomal RNA is filed under the name uncultured prokaryote. RNAcentral describes it as "bacterial SSU rRNA". It matches the Rfam family "Bacterial small subunit ribosomal RNA", at positions 355 to 774 of the family's 1533-position model. The record is from RNAcentral.